This 1230-nucleotide long non-coding RNA is filed under the name Phasianus colchicus (ring-necked pheasant). Its description in RNAcentral is "lncRNA (ENSPCLG00000020286.1)". The record is from RNAcentral. Lineage: Eukaryota; Metazoa; Chordata; Aves; Galliformes; Phasianidae.
UCCCAAUAAACGGAACCGCCCCCCCCCAAACCCAAAACCCCAAACCGUCCCGGAGCUGCGGUGACCCGCAAAGUUGGGGGGGGGGUGGGGGGGUCCGGUCAUGAAUGCUCGUCUGUGCUGUCGGACCUCCCAGGCGGCGGCCGCCAACGGCACCGGACCGGGACCGACAACAGGACCGGGACCGGGACCGACAUCGGGACCGGGACCGGACCGACAACAGGACCGGGACCGGACCGACAACAGGACCGGGACCGACAUCGGGACCGGGACCGGACCGACAACAGGACCGGGACCGACACCGGGACCCGGACCGACAACAGGACCGGGACCGAUAACAGGACCGACAACAGGACCGGGACGGACACGGAGACCGGAACCAGGACCGACAACAGGACCGGGACCGACAACAGGACCGGGACCGGACCGACAACAGGACCAGGACGGACACGGAGACCGGGACCGGGACCAGGACCGACAACAGGACCGGGACGGACACGGAGACCGGGACCGACAACAGGACCGGGACCGACAACAGUCCGGGACCGACAUCGGGACCGGGACCAGGAUCGAUAACAGGACCGGGACCGACACGGGAACCGGGACCAACACCGGGUGGACACCAGGACCGACACCGACAUGAGGACCGACACCAGGACCGAUACCGGGACCGACAGCCCUCGGUGCGGGCACAGCAGAACAGCGAACCGCCACCACCUCCCCGCUGCACCGGGACCGACACCGGGACCGGGACCGACAUCGGGACUGACACCAGGAUGGACACCGGGACCGGGACCGGGACCGGGACCGACACCGACACCCCCCGGUCCGGACACGGCAGGACGACGAACCGCCGCCACCUCCCCGCCUCCCCGCCAGCGGCUCUCGAUCGCCCCAUCGGUUCGGGCGGUUCCGUUCGUCGGUCCGGCGCGGUACCGGAUUCUCUUACCUUGCAGCUCCUUCCGAACCGCACCGGCAGCGUUCAGCGCCAACAGCGCCAACAGCGCCCGCAACCCCGCAGCGCCCCGCAACGCCGAACCCAUCCCGACGGAACCGGCGGUGCGGAGCGCGGCGGGGCGGAGCGGAGAAGCGGAGGGGCGGCCGUUCAAAAACGAGGAGGAAACAAAGAACCGCCAAUCAGCGACGGACAGAACCGGGGAGUCCCGGAGGAAUAACGGAGGAUCCCGCAACGCCGCCCCGCACGAACCCCGCAGCAACGCCGUCCGGAGCGGC